AAGCUGGAAUCGCUAGUAAUCGUAGAUCAGCAUGCUACGGUGAAUACGUUCCCGGGUCUUGUACACACCGCCCGUCACACCACGAGAGUUUGUAACACCCGAAGCCGGUGGAGUAACCUUUUAUUAGGAGCUAGCCGUCGAAGGUGGGACAGAUGAUUGGGGUGAAGUCGUAACAAGGUAGCCGUAUCGGAAGGUGCGGCUGGAUCACCUCCUUUCUAAGGA
RNAcentral lists this ribosomal RNA (222 nucleotides) under Gemella sp. WT2a. RNAcentral's name for it is "partial 16S ribosomal RNA". It matches the Rfam family "Bacterial small subunit ribosomal RNA", at positions 1323 to 1533 of the family's 1533-position model. The record is from RNAcentral. Lineage: Bacteria; Bacillati; Bacillota; Bacilli; Caryophanales; Gemellaceae.